This 75-nucleotide transfer RNA is filed under the name Candidatus Woesearchaeota archaeon. RNAcentral describes it as "tRNA-Pro". It matches the Rfam family "tRNA". Rfam says of the family: Transfer RNA (tRNA) molecules are approximately 80 nucleotides in length. Their secondary structure includes four short double-helical elements and three loops (D, anti-codon, and T loops). Lineage: Archaea; Nanobdellati; Candidatus Woesearchaeota. The record is from RNAcentral.
GGGGCUAUAGUGUAGCUUGGAUUAUCACCCUAGCUCGGGGAGCUAGUAACCGGAGUUCAAAUCUCCGUAGCCCCA